This 476-nucleotide ribosomal RNA is filed under the name uncultured Planctomycetales bacterium. RNAcentral's name for it is "bacterial SSU rRNA". It matches the Rfam family "Bacterial small subunit ribosomal RNA", at positions 365 to 831 of the family's 1533-position model. The record is from RNAcentral. Lineage: Bacteria; Pseudomonadati; Planctomycetota; Planctomycetia; Planctomycetales.
UUCGCAAUGCCCGAAAGGGUGACGAAGCGACGCCGCGUGGGUGAAGAAGGCCUUCGGGUUGUAAAGCCCUGUCAGGAGUUAUGAAAUGUAAGUGCGCUAAUAUCGUGCUUAUUUGACAAAGGCUCCAAAGGAAGUCACGGCUAACUCUGUGCCAGCAGCCGCGGUAAUACAGAGGUGGCGAGCGUUGUUCGGAAUUAUUGGGCGUAAAGAGCACGUAGGUGGGUUUGCAAGUCAGAUGUGAAAGCCUUCUGUUCAACGGGAGAAUUGCAUCUGAAACUGCUAAUCUUGAGUAUAGGAGGGGAGAAUGGAACUUCUGGUGGAGCGGUGAAAUGCGUAGAUAUCAGAAGGAACGCCGGCGGCGAAAGCGAUUCUCUGGCCUAUUACUGACACUCAGUGUGCGAAAGCUAGGGGAGCAAACGGGAUUAGAUACCCCGGUAGUCCUAGCCGUAAACGAUGGGCACUAAGUAGAGGGGUUU